AGGAAGGAAGGGAGAGAGAGAGCUCUCUUCCAUCCUCUGAAUUAUUCCCCAAAUGCCUACAACAGCAAUGGCUGGGCCAGACCAAGGCCAGGAGCCCGGGGUGGGGGGCUCAAAAACUUGGGCCAUCGUCUGCUGCCUCCUGGGGUGCACAUGAACCAGAGCUGGAUUGGAAGCAGAGGUAGAACUUGAUGCCAGCACUCCGACAUGGGCUGUGGGCAUCUCAAGCACCUAAAGUCUGACCCUGGUCCCCAGCACCUGAGACAUCCUGCCGGGAAGAUGUUGGACAGGACCCCCAGCGCUCCCUGAGAACUGACCCACCCCCAGGGAAGAAUCCCCUGGUUCAUUUGUCCCCGUGGCCCUGCCCUGCCCUGAGACUGGACCAUCCUUUUCCGUUUGGUCUCCUUGGCCACAUUUGAGGGGCCAUUGGAGGCUAUGACUUUGUGAAGUGGAGUCGCUUUCUCUGUCUCCUUCAUGCCUAUAGCCAUUUGAGGACCCAAGGUUUGAACACUCAAGAGCUGGUGGCUUUGGCUGGGCGUAGGGGGAAUGUGAGGGAGGAGCAGUACAAUUUCUUUGAUAUUUGGUUUGUCUAUUUGAUUCCACUCAGUUCCAAGGGCCGAUAGCUGCAUCCAUAUAUGUAUAUAUAUGUUAUAAGUCAGAGUUACACACAGAGAAGGAGAAGCAGAGAGGGAGAGAGAGGUCUUCCAUCCGCUGGUUCACUCCCCAAAUGGUCGCAGUGGCUGGAGCUGAGCCAAUCUGAAGCUGAGCCAAUCUGAAGCCAGGAGCCAGGAGCUUCUUCCGGGUCUCCCACGUGUGUGCAGGGGCCCAAGCACUUGGAAAUUCUUCCAGUGCUUUGCCAGGCCAUAGCUGAGAGCUGGAUCGGAAGUGGAGCAGCCAGGACUCGAACCGGCGCCCACAUGGGAUGCUGGCGCCACAGGCUGUGGCUUUACCCUGUUGUGCCACAGCGACCCCCCUCCAGUUCUUUCCAGUCCUGCCUCUCAUGCCUCUCUUCAGACUCAAUGGCAGCCCUCUCUCUUGGGAGAGCUCCACUCCUAAUGUCCUCCCUCUGAAUCAUCUUGACUAAUGGAAAGAAAUGUACUGGGAACUCCGGUGAUCAGUUGCGAGGUUUUUACAACACGCAUAACAGCCACACUUAAUAAGGCCCUUGCCACAGGAUGAGUUUUAAUUUAACUUUGUUGCUCAAGGGCCUUCUCGGUAGGAUCUUUUACUGGUGAAAAAGUAUGGCUCGCUUGCCUGGAGUUUCUAUAGUCUCUUCCAUUUCUGCUUAAAAACUCAUGGCAGGGGGCAGCAUUGUGAUGUGGUGGGUUAAGCCACCACCUGUAACACCAGCAUCCCAUAUGAAUGCCGGUUCGAGUCCUGGCUACUCCACUUCCGGACCAGUUCCCUACUAAUGGUCUUGGAAAAGCUGAACAUGGCCAAGUGCAUGUCUCCCUGUGGGAGACCCUGAAGAAGCUCCUGGCUCUUGGAUUCGAAUGGGCCCAGCUCCAGCUAUUGUGGCCAUUUGGGGAGUGAGCCAGUGGGUGGAAGAUCUCUGUCUCUCUCUGUAAUUCUGCAUUUCAAAUAAAUUGAAUAUAUAUAUACAUAUAUAUGUAUAUGUGUGUGUGUGUGUAUAUAUAUAUAUAUAUGCUGGAAUCAGAAGUGGAGCAGCCUGGACUUGAACUGGGACCCAUAUGGGGUGCCAGCGCCAUCUACCCACUUUGCCUCAAUGCCGGCCUCAGCCUGGGUCUUCCAAAGAUAGGAAAAAGAAGAGAUGCCCUUUCUCCUAAAUGACAUGACUCAGAAGUAUACAUCCUUUCUGCUUUCAGCCUGGUAGGAAGAAUUUAGUCACAUGGCCACAGCCAGCUGAAAGGGUUGCUGAGAAUAGAAUAUUUUUUAAAAGUUUAUUCAUUUUUAUUUAUUUGGAAGGCACAGCAACAGUGAGGGAGAUAGAUAGAUAGAUAGAUAGAUAGAUAGAUCGAUCGAUCGAUCUUCCAUCCACUGGUUCACUCCCCAAAUCCCAGCAAUAGUCAAGGCUGGGCCAGGCUGAAGGCAGGAGCCAGGAACUCUGCCCGGGUCUCCCAUAUAGGUGGCAAGACUCAAUACCUGUGCCAUCAUUCUGCUGCCCAGUAGGCACAUGAGCAGGAAGCUGGACUGGAAGCAGGAGCAGAGGCAGGACUGGUCCCAGGCACUCAGGUAUGGGCUGCAGUUGUUCCAAGUGACAGCUGCACCUGCUAUGCCACCACACCUGCCUCCAGAAACAUAGCUUAAUCCUGAGGGUUUUACUGGUAUUGUGGCUGCAGUGGGUUAAGGUACUGCCUGCCAUGCCGGCAUCCCAUGUGAGUUCUGGUUCGAGUCCUGGCUCCACUUUUGAUUUGGUUCCCUGCUGAUGCACCUGGGAGGGCUUCAGAAGAUGGCCCAAGGAUUGCGGGCACCCAGAUGGAGUUCUCAAUUCCUGGCUUCAGCCUGGCCCAGCUGGGACCAUGCCAUGGAGGCUAUCUGGGAAGUGAAGCAGUGGAUGAAAGUGCUCUCUCUCUCUCUUUCUACUCUGCUUUCAAAUAAGAAAAAAAAAUCUUUAAAAGAAAAGUUCUUCUCUGGAAGAGGAGAGAACGGAUACCACUGGAUGUGAAUUCUUCACAGCUGUAUUAGUUCCCUACAAUGACGUGACAAUGAUCACACAUCUAGUGGCUUAAAACAACACGCAUUUGUCCUCUUAUAGUCUUAGAGGCCAGAAGUCCAAAAUCAGUUUCACAGAGCUGAAGUUAGGGUGUCGGCAGGCUGGUCCCUACUGGGGGCUCUGAUGGGGAAUCUGUCUCCUUGCUUUUUCCAGCACCUGCUGGCUGCCUGUGUUGCUUGGCUGCUGGCCCCAUCCUCCGUUGGAAAUCGCAUCCAUCCAGUCUCUGAGGCCAUCGUCAGCUGCCCUCUCUGACUCUUUUUUUAAAAAGAUUAUUUAUUUGAGGCCGGCGCCACGGCUCAAUAGGCUAAUCCUCUGCCUGCGGCACCGGCACCCCGGGUUCUAGUCCCGGUCGGGGCGCCGGAUUCUGUCCCUGUUGCCCCUCUUCCAGUCCAGCUCUCUGCUGUGGCCCGGGAGUGCAGUGGAGGAUGGCCUAAGUCCUUGGGCCCUGCACCCACAUGGGAGACCAGGAGAAGCACCUGGCUCCUGCCUUCGGAUAAGCACGAUUCGCCGUCCGCGGCAGCCAUUGGAGGGUGAACCAACGGCAAAGGAAGACCUUUCUCUCUGUCUCUGUCUCUCUCUCCCUGUCCACUCUGCCUGUCAAAAAAAAAUAUUCAUUUAUUUGAAAGUUAGAGUUAGAGAGAGGAGGAGAGAGAAAGAGAUAGAGAGAGAGAGAUAGAGAGAUGAGAGAGAGAGAGAGAGAGAGAGAGAUCUUCCAUCCACUGGUUCAUUCCCCAGUUGGCUGCAACGGCUGGAGCUGAGCCAAUCCGAAGUCAGGAUCUAGGAGCUUCUUCUGGGUCUCCCAUGCGGAUGCAGGAGCCCAAGGCUUUGGGCCAUCUUCUACUGCUUUCCCAGGCCAUAGCGGAGAGCUGGAUUGGAAGUGGAGCCAUCCCAUAUGGGAUGCCGGCACUGCAGGUGGCGGCUUUACCUGCUACGCCACAGCGCCGGCCCCAACCCUCUCUGAUUCUUAUUUCUCCAGUCUCUCUCUUCCAAGGACCCCUGUGAUCACACUGGGCCCAUCUGGAUAAGGCAGGGAUCUCUUCCCCAUCCUCAGCUCCUCCUUACCUUAAUCACAUUCUCAAAGUCCCUUUUGCCAUCGUACAAGAGACUUCACAAAGUUUGUGGAAAAUGGAAUUGAAAGCCAACACGAGCCUGGUGUUUAAGAUACCCGCAUCCCGUAUUGGAGUGCCUAGGUUGUUCACUGCCCAGCUCUGGCUCCUGACUCCUGGGAAGCAGUGAUGAUGGCUCAAGAACUUGGGUCUCUGCCACCCACAAGGGAGACCUGGACAGAGUUCUCAGCUUCCAGCUUCUGCCAUGCCCAGCCCAGCCCAGCCCAAUCCCAGACAUUUAGGCAUGUGAGGAGUGAACAAGUAGACUGGCUGGAGGUCUCUCUCUCUCUCUCCCCCUGCCAAAACCAAUAAAAAGAUGCAUAUUUGGGGACCAGCAUUAUGGCACAGCUAGUUAAGCCACCAUCUGCAACACUGACAACGGCAUCCCACAUGGACACCGGUUCGAGUCCCGGCUGCUCCACUUCCUACCCAGCUCCCUGCUAAUGUGCCUGAGAGAGCAGUAGAGGAUGGCCUCUGCACCCAUGUGGGAGACCCGGAUGGAGUUCCAGGCUCCUGGCUUCGGUCUGGUGCAACCCCAGCUGUUGUGGACAUUUGGAAGAUAUUUUCUCUCUCUCCCUCCCUCCCUUCCUCUCUUGUAAGAUUUUAUUUAUUUGAGAGGUAGUUACAGAAAGAGAGGGAGAGACAGAGAGAAAGGUCUUCCUUCCACUGGUUCACUCCCCAAAUGGCCGCAACUGCUGGAGCUGGGCUGAUCUGAAGGCAGGAGCCAGGAGCUUCUUCCAGGUCUCCUCCGUGGGUGCAGGGCCCCAAGCAUUUGAUCCAUCUUCCACUUCCAUAGGCAGAGAGCUGGAUUGGAAGAGGAGCAGCUGCGGGGACAUGAACUGGCACCCAUAUGGAAUGCUGGCACCACAGGCAGAGGCCUAGCCUACUACACCACAGCGCCGGCCCUGUCACUCUUCCUUUCAAAUAAACAAACAAAUAAAUAAAUAAUCUUUCAAAAGCAAAACGAAACCAGAGGUUUCUCCAGCCAGCAACAGGCAACACAGGCAGAAUGGGAAGGCAGAGAAAAGUGGAGUAGGGCAAGGGCUUGAUGGCGCUGCCGGCUGUGACGUCAGGAACCCCAGCAAAGGAGUGGAGGUGGCCCAUGGCAAGCAAAGAAAGCGACCUUGGCGCUGGUGUUAUGGCGUAGCAGGUAAAGCCGCCUGCAGUGCCAGCAUCCCAUAUGGGCGCUGGUUCAAGUCCCGGCUGCUCCACUUCUGAUCCAGCUCUCUGCUGUGGCCUGGGAAAGCAGUGGAAUAUGGCCCAAGUGCUUAGGCCCCUGCACCUGUGUGGGAGACCUGGAAGAAGCUCCUGCUUCUGGCUUCGGAUUGGCGCAGCUCCGGUCAUUGCAGCCAUUUGGGAAGUGAAUCAAUGGAUGGAAGAUUCUCUCUCUCUGCCUCUGCUUUUCUGUAACUCUGUCUUUCAAACAAAUAAACAAAUUGAAGGAAGGAAAGAGAAAGAGAAAGAGAAAGAGAAAGAGAAAGAGAAAGAGAGAGAGAGAGAGAGAGAGAGAGAGAGAGAGAGAGAGAAACCCCGGCCGCUCUGGCCAAACCCAGCUGAAUUCUGCUGAUAACCUGGGUGAGCCUGCAUGUGAACUCCAGAUACGAGCCCAGGCUAAAGAGCCUACUCAGCCAAGCCUGCGGGACUUGGGACCCACAGGGCUAGGAGAAAUGGAGCCGGUUUUUAGCUCCUACAAUUUGUGAUCAUCUAACCUAACAUGGCGAUAUCUGACCUGAGGUUUGACAGGAGAGAAGGAGCAGCCUGGGCAAAACGAGGUCACUGGGUUCCACCCCAAGUCCAGAGCAAGGGCAAAGGCCCCAAGGCCAUGCAGGAAUGAGAAGAAAGCGAACGCCAUCCUGGCUGGAGGCUGCCGGGUGGAAGGAGUAGGUGGGAGGGGGCCCCGGCCGGGGAGGCACUGUAGGGCAGGCAGGCUCGGGGUUCGUGUGUGCUGUGGGGAGCCAUUGCACGGCGCCCUAAAGAUGGCGCCGGCUCCUUUCCCCCGGAAGGACUGGCGAGAAACAAACAUCUCCUAAUAAGGAGAUGUCUGAGCUCCCUUCCAGCUUCCGCAUUGCUGUACCAAUCAAUGCUUGCCACUUGGCUGCUUUUGAUUGGUGUGCUGAUGGCUAUAAGAGGGAUGGGAGAGGGAAGGAGGCGGAAGAAGAAGCUUGUUCAAGGUUCCUGAAUAAACUGCUGGAAGAAGAGUUCGGGUCGUGUCUUCCUUGCUGGUCGAGGGACGCGACAACUGGUGGCCCGUACGGGGAACCAUCUCAAACGCGAACUCAGAACUUCCUGCAGUCAGGGCAGCGCUGGUUUCGCAUUUUUCUAUUGCCAGUAUGAGUCUUGAUUGGAAAAACUGCACCAUGAAGCUGUUUACGUUAUAUCUUUAAUGUUUGAGUGAGUACCUAACUUUGAUCAGAUCUAGUCCACAGCCUUGGUUAAACGUACUAAUUUUUGACUAAAAUGGUUUGACUCUCUGAUAGUUUAAAUUCUAAACCGAGUCUUUCAACUUUGGGGCUUCCAGUCGGAUCCCUGGAACUCUCAAAGGAUGGGACUCUAAAUUUGUUAAAGUAACAGCUGUUUGAGUCAAUUCAAAUUAUACAAAGUGUAUUAAAAUGUAGUAAAUGAUGUCAAAUCUAUGUUGUAUUCAUGUUUUUGCUUUUCAGCUAAAGUAGUCUUAUAAAAAUGAGAGUAAAUUCUGUGUACACAAGCCUUUCUGUUGUUAACUCAAGUAAGCCAAUACAGAUUGGUUCAGAAAAUUGGGUUAAUGCAAACGCCCUUUGGUUUACUUGCUCAGUUUUACAUUUACAUGUCUUUGAUAUGCUUUAAACUUGUUUCUCUUAAGGAUGAAGAUCUUUUCAAAGUUGUAAAUAUGCACUAGUGACUGUUGCUGCCCAAGUGGUGUUAUCCUUAUGUUACUUAAAAGCAUGGAAAUGUAAUUUUGACUUUUAAUUCAGAUAAUGGUGUGGUAUUCAUUAAUAGCUCAGUGUUUUAAGUUAUCCAGGCAUCGGUGCUAAGUAAAAUAUGGAAAACAUAUUAUGUGUACUUUUAACAUCUUAAAUUUGAUAAGAGAGACUUUUAAGUUUGCCAGCAUGUAUUCUCAUAGGUUGUCCAUACAUGAUAAUUCAAGACUGUAAAAGUAACUACAGGUAUAAAGUUUCAGAAGGUGUGAGCAAGUCAUGAAAAGUUGUAAAAAGUUUGAUUUUAAAACAUUGUUUACAGAGUUUUCUAUAAGUUAAAUGUUAAUGCCAAAAUUACACUAACCUAAAGUUGAAGUCUGAUCUUCUGUUAUAACAAUGGGAUUUUUUUAAAUGUUUACUAAUGUUAGUAAUUAUCUGGAAAUGGUCUCAAUUGUAAAUCUUAAAAUCUGUUGUUGCAAAAACUGUAACAUCUCUUUUUAACACUACUGUCUGUUAAGUUAUGAUUGAUAAAAAUAUUAAGUCUUAAAAAGUUAUGUUAAAUAUUAUUAUGAUCAGAUCUGGUCUAAAAGUGUUAAAAUCGCCCUGACUAAAUGUUAAGGAAUUCUAUUUUGACCAGAUACUCUAAGUUCUCUUGGCACCUUUAACAGACUUUCUGAAAAUCAAAGUUCUAAAUUCUCUGGAAUUUUGGUCUCUCCAGAGGGCCCCUGGAGAUGUCAAAAGAUAUAUCUCUCAUCUUGCAGAGAUAAUAACCAAUCGGGCUGUUUAGAUUAAAAGUGGUGCCAAGAUGUGAAAUGAUGCUAAACUUCAGCUAUAAACGUGUUUCUUUCUAGCUGCUCCAGUCUCUGGCUCAGAAGCCAGAUCCUUUAAAGAGGGACUGACAAAGUCUAAGAAGCAUCCCAUGGUCAUGAUUUGCAUCACCUCAAUGUCCAAACCUUAUGAUUAAGAUACGGAAUCACCCGGGAACAGGCAAGGCAAAUUGUAAAAUCCUGCCCUUCCUGUGUCACAUUUCUCCCGGUCCCUUAUUAUGGUGUAAAUCCUAGAGGUUUUAUGCCUAGUCAGCUUUGGCAGAUGGAUGUUACCCAUUUUUCUGAAUUUGGUAAACUAAAAUACAUACAUGUUUAUUUAGAUACAUGUUCAGGUUUUGUUUUUGCCACCCCGCAAUGUGGCGAGGCUGCCAAACAUCUCUAAUUGCCUUCAGACCUUUGCUGUUCUAGGAACCCCUAUACAGAUAAAAACUAAUAAUGGCCCAGCGUAUACUUCCAACUCUUUUAAGCACUUCUGUACUAACUUCCACAUCUCUCAUCACCGGGAUUCCUUAUAAUCCCCAGGGACAAGGUAUUGUGGAACGAGCACAUGCCACAUUAAAAAAUUAUUUACAAAAAAUAAAAAAGGGGGAAUACAGGACCAUGGCAUAUUCCCCACAAAAAUGGCUAUCACAUGCUCUUUUUAUUUUAAAUUUUCUAAUACUGGAUAAUCAAGGGAAAGCUGCAGCUGAUCGUCACUGGCAUCCUGAAACCAAAAGACAACAAGUCUAUGUGAAGUGGAAAGACCCUCUAACUGCUCAAUGGUAUGGACCUGACCCUGUUUUAAUAUGGGGACGUGGACAUGUUUCUAUAUUCUCAAUGGUUACCUGAGCGACUGGUGCGGCAAACAGACAAUGUCACAAAGCAGCCCCUUGAUCUUCAUUAUAACAUUGCUGAUUGGGAUCGUUACUGCAGCCGUUAUAACCGCCAUUUCCAUUGCAGCUGUGGGCGCUACAACAGCUGCUAUAGUGCUCACAGGGACAGUUCAAACUGCUAAUACCCUGAAUAAUUUAACGGCCUCCGUGGCUGCUGCUUUGGAUACUCAGACAUCCUUAAAUGUACAUAUAAAGGGAGGCUUGAUGAUUGUUAAUCGGCGUGUGGAUUUGGUACAGGAGCAGGUGGAUACUCUCUGGCAGCUUGCUCAGCUAGGAUGUGAGUGGAAAUUUUCAGGGUUGUGUGUGACCUCUGUUCAGUACGAUAACAUGACUCAGGCAGCAAACUACUCUAAACAGUUGUCUCAGAUGCUCUUGCAGAAUUGGUCCGCAGAAUUUGACUACACCUUGAAGCAACUGUGCCUUGCCGUGGUCACCAUCAACUCCACACGUGUGGAUGUCUCCUUCGCAUCUGGAUUGUCAUCCUGGAUCCGCACAGCCGUCUCCAACCUGAAGGAGUGGGUGGGACUUGGAGCUUUGACGGGUUGCUGUUACUUGUUGUGUUAUUUUGCCUGUGGUGUUUGUGCAGGAUGAGGACAGCUCAUUGGCGGGAAUUGGCCAUGAUAGCUCAAGCCUUUUAUGCCCUUGAGGCUGGACAAUCGCCGCAAGCAUGGCUGGCCUUCCUUGAAUGCUAGGCAUGGGUGCAGGGUGCGAGGCAAAGCACUGCAGAGAGAACGAGCCAUUACGUUCUCUGGAAGGCAAGUCUGUCUGCAUGUGGGUUGGCAUCCCAGAUCCCACCCCCGCGAAAAGGAUGCUGUUCCAGGUGGAUGCCUGGCAGUGGGGGACAGACCUCUACCUUCUCCUGUAAUCCUUAGAUGCCUGGUUCUAAAACAAAAAGGGGGAACUGUGGGGAGCCAUUGCACGGCGCCCUAAAGAUGGCGCCGGCUCCUUUCCCCCGGAAGGACUGGCGAGAAACAAACAUCUCCUAAUAAGGAGAUGUCUGAGCUCCCUUCCAGCUUCCGCAUUGCUGUACCAAUCAAUGCUUGCCACUUGGCUGCUUUUGAUUGGUGUGCUGAUGGCUAUAAGAGGGAUGGGAGAGGGAAGGAGGCGGAAGAAGAAGCUUGUUCAAGGUUCCUGAAUAAACUGCUGGAAGAAGA
Oryctolagus cuniculus (rabbit) is the source of this 9524-nucleotide non-coding RNA. NCBI's taxonomy places the organism in Eukaryota, Metazoa, Chordata, Mammalia, Lagomorpha, Leporidae. The record is from RefSeq and is a predicted model, not a curated record.